AACGAACGCUGGCGGCGUGGAUAAGACAUGCAAGUCGAACGGAGAAUGUGAAUAGCUUGCUAGACGCAUUUUUAGUGGCGGACGGGUGAGUAACACGUGAGCAACCUGCCCGAAAGUGAGGAAUAGCCCGGGGAAACUCGGAUUAAUACCGCAUAUGAUUCUGCAAGGCAUCUUGUGGCAAUCAAAGCUGGGGAUCGUAAGACCUGGCGCUUUCGGAUGGGCUCGCGGCCUAUCAGCUUGUUGGUAAGGUAACGGCUUACCAAGGCUACGACGGGUAACUGGUCUGAGAGGACGACCAGUCACACUGGAACUGAGACACGGUCCAGACACCUACGGGUGGCAGCAGUCGAGAAUCAUUCACAAUGGGCGAAAGCCUGAUGGUGCGACGCCGCGUGGAGGAUGACGGCCCUAGGGUUGUAAACUCCUGUCAUCAGAGAGUAACGUUGUGUACAUAAUACGUACGCAAUUUGAUAGUAUCUGAAGAGGAAGGGACGGCUAACUUCGUGCCAGCAGCCGCGGUAAUACGAAGGUCCCAAGCGUUGUUCGGAAUUGCUGGGCGUAAAGCGUGUGUAGGCGGUUGGGUAAGUCAGAUGUGAGAUCCCGGGGCUCAACCUCGGAACUGCAUCCGAUACUGCCUGACUAGAGGACUGGAGGGGAGUCUGGAAUUCUCGGUGUAGCAGUGAAAUGCGUAGAUAUCGAGAGGAACACUAGUGGCGAAGGCGAGACUCUGGACAGAUCCUGACGCUGAGACACGAAGGCUAGGGUAGCGAACGGGAUUAGAUACCCCGGUAGUCCUAGCAGUAAACGGUGCACGCUUGGUGUGGGAGGAUUCGACCCCUUCCGUGCCGGAGCUAACGCGUUAAGCGUGCCGCCUGGGGAGUACGGCCGCAAGGCUAAAACUCAAAGAAAUUGACGGGGACCCGCACAAGCGGUGGAGUAUGUGGCUUAAUUCGAUGCAACGCGAAGAACCUUACCUGGGCUUGACAUGCAUCCCUCAACCGGGAAAGCCGG
Molecule: ribosomal RNA, 1011 nt
Filed under: uncultured bacterium
Lineage: Bacteria
Description: bacterial SSU rRNA
Rfam family: Bacterial small subunit ribosomal RNA
Source: RNAcentral